AUACGGUGAAUACGUUCCCGGACCUUGUACACACCGCCCGUCAAGCCAUGGAAGCCGGGUGUACCUAAAGUCGAUAACCGUAAGGAGUCGCCUAGGGUAAAACUAGUAACUGGGGCU
Molecule: ribosomal RNA, 117 nt
Filed under: uncultured bacterium
Lineage: Bacteria
Description: partial 16S ribosomal RNA
Rfam family: Bacterial small subunit ribosomal RNA
Source: RNAcentral